UCAGGUAGGGAUACCCGCUGAACUUAAGCAUAUCAAUAAGCGGAGGAC
This 48-nucleotide ribosomal RNA is filed under the name Aspergillus aculeatus. RNAcentral describes it as "partial 28S ribosomal RNA". The record is from RNAcentral. Lineage: Eukaryota; Fungi; Ascomycota; Eurotiomycetes; Eurotiales; Aspergillaceae.